UACGGGGGGGGCGAGCGUUGUCCGAAUUUAUUGGGCGUAAAGCGCGUGUAGGCGGAUUAUCAAGCCUGGGGUGAAAGGUUGGGGCUCAACCCCAAGAGUGCCCUGGGGACUGGUAGUCUGGAGGCAGGCAGAGGAGAGUGGAAUUCCUGGUGUAGCGGUGGAAUGCGUAGAGAUCAGGAAGAACACCCAUGGCGAAGGCAGCUCUCUGGGCCUGUACUGACGCUGAGACGCGAAAGCGUGGGGAGCGAACGGG
RNAcentral lists this ribosomal RNA (253 nucleotides) under uncultured bacterium. RNAcentral describes it as "partial 16S ribosomal RNA". It matches the Rfam family "Bacterial small subunit ribosomal RNA", at positions 524 to 776 of the family's 1533-position model. The record is from RNAcentral.